Molecule: long non-coding RNA, 1667 nt
Organism: Ostrea edulis (European flat oyster)
Lineage: Eukaryota; Metazoa; Mollusca; Bivalvia; Ostreida; Ostreidae
Exons: 2
Source: RefSeq, a predicted model, not a curated record
GUUCUUUUCACAAAAUAUUCAAAGGCAUUUGAAUAUAAAUAUAUAUAUCUUGUAAGAAACAUAAAUACUUAAUCGUGUCAGGUGUGUCAUAUUUCUCAUGACAUUGCAUGCAUCUUUAUUCAUUUACUUGUUCUGGGAAGUGUUCACAAAAAAGCUAUAUACAGUAGCUUUUAAUGUAGUUUGGUGAUGUCAGCACUACAAAAUUUAUUCAUUGCUUAAAUACAAAUACCUCUUUCUUACCUAAUUAUGAAACAAGAAAUGUUUAAGAAACAUGUAUGUCCAUCCCCCCCUUGCCCCUGCAAAAUUGAAAAGGGUUAUAGACAUGUAUCAUUUAAUUGAUAAUACAUGUAGUGCUAUAUACAAUUCAAGAUAUUGAGUGGACAAUAUCUUCCUAUGUCCAGAAUGCAUUGACCCCUGACCUUUGACCAUGUGUCCUCAAUAUCAAUAGGGGUCAUCUACUCCUUAGGAUGUACCAAUAAGUUUGAUGUCUGUCAAAAAAGGGGUUCUCAAGAUAUUGAGCGGACAAUAUCUUUCUAUGUCAAGAGUGGAUUGACCCUUGACCUUUGAUCAUGUAACAUCAAAAUCAAUUCACGCUUCCACUGUCGUCAGGGGAGGUGCGGUUAUCAUCUCCGCACAGCCAAUCAGAAUCGCGGAAGAAUUGUCCGCCAUUACCUCCGUCAAAACUUAUGAUGACGGAGGUUUUGAGGUACAGAUGUUUUAGCCUGAUUACUUCGAGUUCUCAUAAAAUUGGUGGAAUUGUGUGCAUCGGGGAAAUGCAACAGUGAUUCACGUUACCCAGAAAGGAUACUAGAAGUAAUGUUUAUCCCAUUUCCAAACCCAAAAUCACAUAAAGAUUAAUGUUUACGUUGGAUAAAGGCGUGCGGUUGGCCCCACAGUAAGAGCAGAAUGGACCGGCACACAAAAUUCAUUGGAUAUACUUGUAACAGCAGCACAAGUCAGAGAAUUUACAAGACCAGUUAACAACAGCAGAAAAUGCCUUUCAUCAACAGAGCAUACUUAAUCAUCAUCUGCAACUCCAGUUAUCAAUGGAAGCCCAAGAUUAACCCCACCAACAGGCCACCCCUUUUGACAUUAACAGUACUCUACAGCAAGAGAAAGAAAAAAAACAGGGUUGUUUUUAUAUUAUAUCAAUUUGAGACAUGCCACAUUUUGUACUUUGUUAGAGUUUUUUUUAUACAUCUGAGCAAAUUCCCCAGUGUGUAAAAAAAGGAGGGACAUAACAAAUAUGACAAAACAAUCGCAGUUGUUAUUAACACUGAUGAGGCUGAGACAUAAUUUUGAAAUCAAAGACUUGGCAUCAAGAUUUUGUAUUUCAACACAGUGUAUCAGUGAUAUAUUCUGUGCUUGAAUUGACCUUAUGUUGUGUUAGGUUGUGUUUCAAUAUAGUCCUAUAGGAAUGAUAUUAACAACAUGACAACUGAAUAAAAGCUCAAUUCCCAACAACCAUCGCUAUCAUUGAUUGUGCAGAAAGGAAAUCACAGAAACAAUCUUCUUUAAAACUACAGUUACAAAUUAUACAUUCUGACUACAAAUCAGCUACAACCUAAAGGGGACUUGUGGAUUGUGAUCCUUUAGGGGACACAAUGGAAACUAGCUGUAUGCUAAUUUGUGUUAUCUUGGAUAAAUAAAGGCUAUUAUUAUUAUCA